This 447-nucleotide ribosomal RNA is filed under the name uncultured bacterium. RNAcentral's name for it is "partial 16S ribosomal RNA". It matches the Rfam family "Bacterial small subunit ribosomal RNA", at positions 29 to 523 of the family's 1533-position model. The record is from RNAcentral.
AGCGAACGCUGGCGGCAGGCUUAACACAUGCAAGUCGAACGGUCCUUCGGGAUAGUGGCGGACGGGUGAGUAACACGUGGGAACGUACCCUUAGGUUCGGAACAACACAGGGAAACUUGUGCUAAUACCGGAUCAGCCCUUCGGGGGAAAGAUUUAUCGCCGUUGAAGCGGCCCGCGUCUGAUUAGCUUGUUGGUGAGGUAAUGGCUCACCAAGGCUACGAUAAGUAGCUGGUCUGAGAGGAUGGCUAGCCACACUGGGACUGAAACACGGCCCAGACUCCUACGGGAGGCAGCAGUGGGUAAUCUUGCGCAAUGGGCGAAAGCCUGACGCAGCCAUGCCGCGUGGAUGAUGAAGGUCUUAGGAUUGUAAAAUCCUUUCACCGGGGACGAUAAUGACGGUACCCGGAGAAGAAGCCCCGGCUAACUUCGUGCCAGCAGCCGCAGUAA